UGGGACGAGAAGACCCUAUAGAAUUUAAUAUAAUUUUUGAAUUUGUUUAAGGAAAUAAAUUUAAUUUUAAUUAUUAUAUUUUAUUGGGAGGAUAAUUAAAUAAAAUGAACUUUAAUUUUAAAAUAAUUUAACAUUAAUUAAUGAAAUUUAUUUAAAGGAUUGAUUAUUAGGAAGAAUAUUUUUUUUAUAAUAAUUAUAUAAGAAUUAAUUACCUUAGGGAUAACAGCGUGAUAUUUUUAGAAAGAUCAUAUUAAUAAAAAUGAUUGCGACCUCGAUGUUG
Molecule: ribosomal RNA, 280 nt
Filed under: Nylanderia fulva
Lineage: Eukaryota; Metazoa; Arthropoda; Insecta; Hymenoptera; Formicidae
Also listed under: 1 other name
Description: partial large subunit ribosomal RNA
Source: RNAcentral